CCAAUAGCGUAUAUUAAAGUUGUUGCAGUUAAAAAGCUCGUAGUUGAACUUCGGGGUUUACUCAUGGGUCUGGCUUAAUUGUCUGUACUGGUGAGAUGAAUCUCUACCUUCUGAGGAACUUUCAUGUCAUUUAUUUGGUGUGAUUGGAAAUCAGGACUGUUACUUUGAAAAAAUUAGUGUGUUUAAAGCAGGCUAACGUCUGAAUACUUUCGCAUGGAAUAAUGAAAUAGGACGGACUGAUUCUAUUUCGUUGGUUUCUAGGAUCACCGUAAUGAUUAAUAGGGAUAGUUGGGGGCAUUAGUAUUCAAUUGUCAGAGGUGAAAUUCUUGGAUUUAUUGAAGACUAACUACUGCGAAAGCAUUUGCCAAGGAUGUUUUCAUUAAUCAAGAACGAAAGUUAGGGGAUCGAAGACGAUCAGAUACCGUCGUAGUCUUAACCAUAAACUAUGCCGACUAGGGAUCGGACGAAGUUAAUUUUAUAAUGACGCGUUCGGCACCUUACG
RNAcentral lists this ribosomal RNA (502 nucleotides) under uncultured Glomeromycotina. Its description in RNAcentral is "partial small subunit ribosomal RNA". It matches the Rfam family "Eukaryotic small subunit ribosomal RNA", at positions 591 to 1092 of the family's 1831-position model. The record is from RNAcentral. Lineage: Eukaryota; Fungi; Glomeromycota.